GACGAACGCUGGCGGCGUGCUUAACACAUGCAAGUCGAACGGAAAGGCCCUGCUUUUGUGGGGUGCUCGUGUGGCGAACGGGUGAGUAACACGUGAGUAACCUGCCCUUGACUUUGGGAUAACUUCAGGAAACUGGGGCUAAUACCGGAUAGGAGCUCCUGCUGCAUGGUGGGGGUUGGAAAGUUUCGGCGGUUGGGGAUGGACUCGCGGCUUAUCAGCUUGUUGGUGGGGUAGUGGCUUACCAAGGCUUUGACGGGUAGCCGGCCUGAGAGGGUGACCGGCCACAUUGGGACUGAGAUACGGACCAGACUGCUACGGGAGGCAGCAGUGGGGAAUAUUGCACAAUGGGCGGACGCCUGAUGCAGAAACGCCGCGUGCGGGAUGACGGCCUUCGGGUUGUAAACCGCUUUCGCAUGUGACGAAGCGUGAGUGACGGUAAUGGGUAAAGAAGCACCGGCUAACUACGUG
Molecule: ribosomal RNA, 468 nt
Filed under: uncultured bacterium
Lineage: Bacteria
Description: partial 16S ribosomal RNA
Rfam family: Bacterial small subunit ribosomal RNA
Source: RNAcentral